AUGAAAACAAUGUCCGCUCUAGCUCAGACACUAAAUUGAAAGAACUAACAAACAAAGCCACCACGCAGCAUGACACAUCACAACAGACGAAAUCCUCAAGGUGAUAAUAGACGCCAGUUCAACUUCUACACUGAGGAAAAGGCACUCAAGGCGGUGAUAUCCGUUCAUGUACUAUCCGUUCAUGUACCUUGUCUGCAAGUGAUCCCGACGUUUCAGCACCUAGGCAACAGUGCUUGGACAGUGGAUUGCUGAAAGGAUAAACACCUAGUUGGUUACAUACUACAAGGCAACAGCAAAUGUAAGAUCAAUCACAACGGAUGGUGAAACACUACCCUGUCUCACAACAACAGCAUGUUCCAGGCUCAUGUGAUCCUCACACAAUAGGGACUGGGCAUCUGAUUGUUUUAAUAAUCACCUGUAUCACCCUUUUAGCUUUAUUCCUGUAAUUCUGCA
This is a long non-coding RNA of Daphnia pulex (common water flea), 453 nucleotides long. RefSeq lists it as uncharacterized. The record is from RefSeq and is a predicted model, not a curated record. Lineage: Eukaryota; Metazoa; Arthropoda; Branchiopoda; Diplostraca; Daphniidae. The transcript has 3 exons.